RNAcentral lists this ribosomal RNA (484 nucleotides) under uncultured bacterium. RNAcentral's name for it is "partial 16S ribosomal RNA". It matches the Rfam family "Bacterial small subunit ribosomal RNA", at positions 29 to 507 of the family's 1533-position model. The record is from RNAcentral.
AGUGAACGCUGGCGGCAGGCCUAACACAUGCAAGUCGAGCGGCAGCGCGGGGGCAACCCUGGCGGCGAGCGGCGGACGGGUGAGGAAUUCGUCGGAAUCUGCCUUUUUGUGGGGGAUAACGUAGGGAAACUUACGCUAAUACCGCAUACGUCCUACGGGAGAAAGUGGGGGACCGCAAGGCCUCACGCAGAAAGAUGAGCCGACGACCGAUUAGCUAGUUGGUGGGGUAAAGGCCCACCAAGGCGACGAUCGGUAGCUGGUCUGAGAGGAUGAUCAGCCACACUGGGACUGAGACACGGCCCAGACUCCUACGGGAGGCAGCAGUGGGGAAUAUUGGACAAUGGGCGCAAGCCUGAUCCAGCCAUGCCGCGUGUGUGAAGAAGGCCUUCGGAUUGUAAAGCACUUUUGUCCGGAAAGAAAUCCCUGGAGCUAAUACCUUCGGGGGAUGACGGUACCGGAAGAAUAAGCACCGGCUAACUUCGUG